UACGUAGGGGGCUAGCGUUGUCCGGAAUCAUUGGGCGUAAAGCGCGUGUAGGCGGCUUGGCAAGUCGGUUGUGAAAGCCCGGGGCCCAACCCCGGAAUUGCAUCUGAAACUGCCUCGCUAGAGUCCCGGAGAGGAAGGCAGAAUUCCCGGUGUAGGGGUGAAAUCCGUAGAUAUCGGGAGGAAUACCAGCGGCGAAGGCGGCCUUCUGGACGGUGACUGACGCUGAGACGCGAAAGCGUGGGGAGCAAACAGG
This 253-nucleotide ribosomal RNA is filed under the name uncultured bacterium. RNAcentral's name for it is "partial 16S ribosomal RNA". It matches the Rfam family "Bacterial small subunit ribosomal RNA", at positions 524 to 776 of the family's 1533-position model. The record is from RNAcentral.